AGCGUAGACGGUGUGGCAAGUCUGAUGUGAAAGACAUGGGCUCAACCUGUGGACUGCAUUGGAAACUGUCAUACUUGAGUGCCGGAGGGGUAAGCGGAAUUCCUAGUGUAGCGGUGAAAUGCGUAGAUAUUAGGAGGAACACCAGUGGCGAAGGCGGCUUACUGGACGGUAACUGACGUUGAGGCUCGAAAGCGUGGGAGCAAACA
Molecule: ribosomal RNA, 206 nt
Filed under: uncultured bacterium
Lineage: Bacteria
Description: partial 16S ribosomal RNA
Rfam family: Bacterial small subunit ribosomal RNA
Source: RNAcentral